RNAcentral lists this ribosomal RNA (254 nucleotides) under uncultured bacterium. Its description in RNAcentral is "partial 16S ribosomal RNA". It matches the Rfam family "Bacterial small subunit ribosomal RNA", at positions 524 to 776 of the family's 1533-position model. The record is from RNAcentral.
GACGAACCGUACGAACGUUAUUCGGAAUCACUGGGCUUAAAGGGUGCGUAGGCUGCGCGGAAAGUUGGGUGUGAAAUCCCUCGGCUCAACCGAGGAACUGCGCCCAAAACUGCCGUGCUCGAGGGAGACAGAGGUGAGCGGAACUUAGGGUGGAGCGGUGAAAUGCGUUGAUAUCCUAAAGGAGCACCGGUGGCGAAAGCGGCUCACUGGGUCUCUUCUGACGCUGAGGCACGAAAGCUAGGGUAGCGAACGGG